GCCACAAAUCAAAUGCCUCCGACCCAUCGAUGUCGCCGUGAGCUAUCAAUUUCAAUUCCACAGCCGCCACUUUGCCGUUUGCCAGGGAAUAUCGAGGUGUGAGGGCCUCAUCUACCUCGACUAGUCAUCAAGAGAGUCAUAAUAUUGUCAGAAAAGCCAGAGGAUCGUCUUCCAGUCGCAGGCCACUCGAGUUGUUUGUGCAGUAUAUGCAUGAAAUAUUAUAGGAUAAAGAGUGUAAGAACCGCCAUGGGGGUAUGAGUUUUCUCUUUGGAAAAUGUAAACCUCGAGCAACGCAGACUCCUAGUGCGACUUAUGGGAAUCCUUCAACGAUGUACUCCACUCUCGUCGGCCACUCGACGAGUCCUUCGAGUGGUAACAUACGUAUCAAAGGACUUGCACAAAGACCCAACAGAAAAAUAUGUUUCAACGUGAAAAGAGGAGAGUCCGCAUCAUCCACUCAGUGUUUGAGGAGGUGUUCAGCACUCGCAUGGACUGAUGCCUUCAGGUAAUGCUGAUGAAUCAAUCCUUUGGGAAGGGGAGUUUAUGUUUUUGCUGUUGGGAUAUAUAUUGGGAGUCGAUAUUAAGCAUUCGAGCGAAAAACUGAGGGAGAACGCCAGGAUAAAUCCCUGGAGGAACGAUAAUGUUCUCAAAAUUAAGACCAUGGCAGAUUCUAGGCGAUUCAUCUCAUUUGUCUCAGUCCCGAGGAGGAAUUAUCAAUUAAAUUAAAAGCAAGUGUACAGGGAUUAUCCUCUGUUGAAAAAAAGACUGCGCAAUUUUUUUAAUGUCCUGAUGUGAAUGUUAGAGUCAAUUGUUAAUUAAAUAGAAAGGGAAUUUGUAAAUAAUUUAUUUUAACAGCGGGGAAGACUGAGUGGUACUUUACACUGGAAAAUAAAUUCCAGAGCCUGGUAUGAAUCGCGGAAGAGCCCGCGGGUACCCGGGUAAAAAAAAAUUUUAGCGGAAUAUUUUUCUGUUUUCAAAAAAUUUCGGGAAAACU
Molecule: long non-coding RNA, 994 nt
Organism: Fopius arisanus
Lineage: Eukaryota; Metazoa; Arthropoda; Insecta; Hymenoptera; Braconidae
Exons: 3
Source: RefSeq, a predicted model, not a curated record